AUUAGAAACAUGACCAAACGUGUUUUUUUCUUCAUCAGGUCCUGGCUUAACAGUGGUUCCCUGAAAAGCAUCAGUUAACUUUUGCAAGGUUCUACUUGCCAAUUCUGGUUCCCAGUGCAAAGAAGGCCAUUUACAUGGAUGACGAUGUAAUUGUACAAGGUGCCAAAGAAUGAGUUGUUGGUCUGGGUUCGGGGCUGUAAUGGGCUGUCUGUGGUCUACUAUAAACGUCCACCAUUUGAUAGACGUGAGAGGGACAGACUCUCAGGACCAGUGCAGGUGUUCGUCUCACUUUAUCCAUUUCAGGUGAUAUACUUGCCUUAUACAAUACCCCACUGAAGCCAGGACAUGCUGCUGCAUUUUCAGAAGACUGUGACUCAGCUUCUACUAAAGUCAUGAUCCGUGGAGCAGGGAACCAGGUAAGGUACUGCAAAUCUUGCUCCUUAGGAAAGCUUAAUGAGGUUUUCAAUUCAGGGCUGCAUCUUACAUUAACCAGUCACUGCUCUCCAAACCUCACACCUACUUUUCUAGACUCU
RNAcentral lists this long non-coding RNA (533 nucleotides) under Rattus norvegicus (Norway rat). RNAcentral describes it as "long non-coding RNA NONRATT011277". Lineage: Eukaryota; Metazoa; Chordata; Mammalia; Rodentia; Muridae. The record is from RNAcentral.